This 73-nucleotide transfer RNA is filed under the name Anabaena sp. UHCC 0451. RNAcentral describes it as "tRNA-Ala". It matches the Rfam family "tRNA". From Rfam's summary of the family: Transfer RNA (tRNA) molecules are approximately 80 nucleotides in length. The record is from RNAcentral. RNAcentral also lists the same sequence under 3 other names. Lineage: Bacteria; Bacillati; Cyanobacteriota; Cyanophyceae; Nostocales; Nostocaceae.
GGGGUUAUAGCUCAGUUGGUAGAGCGCUUGAAUGGCAUUCAAGAGGUCAGGGGUUCGAUUCCCCUUAACUCCA